AGAUAGUGCUCAGGUCACUCCCCUGAAGCCUAGACCUGACUGAAGGUGGAACCCGCCCCUGAUGGAUCUGUAGGAGGAGCUCAGGAAAAGGACAAGAUAUGGAAGCAGGACUGUUGUUUGUAGAACCAAGAGAAGACCGUCUGGAGUACAAUGAAUGGAAAGUCUCCAAGGAAAAGUCACAAGAUGGAAAUAGCCUGGGUCCUGAAAUGAACCAUCUAUCAAGUAUAUCAACAUUGGACAUGACAUUAGGCAAAUCUGCUGGUGAUGAAUUCCCUCAGUUUUUGUUUAUCUGAGAAAACCUUUAUUUCCCCUUCACAUUUCAAGGAUAAUUUUGCUGGACAUAGAACUCCAUGUUGAUGCUCCCAGAAGUCUUAGAAGGAGAAUGUCCCAGAAAUAUCCCAUGAAUCUAUGAGGAAGAAAUUCAUAAAAUUGUAUGGAUCAUGAUCUUUUACAAAUAUUUCACUGCCUUUUUUUUUUUUCUCUCACACCCAAAUAACAGUCCAGGAAAAAUGAAAUAAGAUAAAACAAAAUGUCUUCAGACAACCAUGUGUGUCUUUUCUGUGUGCCUUCUCCAUUUCUCUACAGUGAUUUAACGAACAUUAAUCACAUAAAAAAAUUAUUUCUCUACAGUGAUUUAACGAACGUUAAUCACAUAAAAAAAUUAUAUCACAAAAAAAAGAAAUUCAUAAAAUUGUAUGGAUCAUGA
Molecule: long non-coding RNA, 706 nt
Organism: Mustela lutreola (European mink)
Lineage: Eukaryota; Metazoa; Chordata; Mammalia; Carnivora; Mustelidae
Exons: 4
Source: RefSeq, a predicted model, not a curated record